GGGGUUUAAGUAAGGUAACGGCAAGGGUUGUGUGAUGUGGAUCAACUAGCAAGGUUGGGAAGAAGGAAGUUGGAUGUUUGUUUGGAAAAUGAUUAUCAGGUGUUGGAUGAGUUUUGGAAGAAAAGGGUGAGGUCAUAAGAUUGGAUUUAUUGAGGUUUCGGCUUGCAUUAUCCGAUCUACGAUAAACCUAAGUGUUGAUUGUAUAUUUAUUUCAGGGUUUUGAUUUGAGACAAGAGCUCUGAUUAGAGGACAUACAACACGAUCUAC
This is a long non-coding RNA of Zingiber officinale, 267 nucleotides long. RefSeq lists it as uncharacterized. The transcript has 3 exons. The record is from RefSeq and is a predicted model, not a curated record. NCBI's taxonomy places the organism in Eukaryota, Viridiplantae, Streptophyta, Magnoliopsida, Zingiberales, Zingiberaceae.